RNAcentral lists this ribosomal RNA (206 nucleotides) under uncultured bacterium. RNAcentral's name for it is "partial 16S ribosomal RNA". It matches the Rfam family "Bacterial small subunit ribosomal RNA", at positions 354 to 577 of the family's 1533-position model. The record is from RNAcentral.
GUGGGGAAUAUUGCACAAUGGGCGAAAGCCUGAUGCAGCAACGCCGCGUGAGUGAUGAAGGUCUUCGGAUUGUAAAGCUCUGUCUUUUGGGACGAUAAUGACGGUACCAAAGGAGGAAGCCACGGCUAACUACGUGCCAGCAGCCGCGGUAAUACGUAGGUGGCGAGCGUUGUCCGGAUUUACUGGGCGUAAAGGGUGCGUAGGCG